Molecule: ribosomal RNA, 429 nt
Filed under: Gemmatimonadota bacterium
Lineage: Bacteria; Pseudomonadati; Gemmatimonadota
Description: Gemmatimonadetes bacterium partial 16S ribosomal RNA
Rfam family: Bacterial small subunit ribosomal RNA
Source: RNAcentral
UAGGGAAUCUUCGGCAAUUGACGAAAGUCUGACCGAGCAACGCCGCGUGAGUGAAGAAGGUUUUCGGAUCGUAAAACUCUGUUGUUAGAGAAGAACAAGGACGUUAGUAACUGAACGUCCCCUGACGGUAUCUAACCAGAAAGCCACGGCUAACUACGUGCCAGCAGCCGCGGUAAUACGUAGGUGGCAAGCGUUGUCCGGAUUUAUUGGGCGUAAAGCGAGCGCAGGCGGUUUCUUAAGUCUGAUGUGAAAGCCCCCGGCUCAACCGGGGAGGGUCAUUGGAAACUGGGAGACUUAGGGGCAGAAGAGGAGGGUGGAAUUCCAUGUGUAGCGGUGAAAUGCGUAGAUAUAUGGAGGAAAACCAGUGGAGAAGGCGGCUCUCUGGUCUGUAACUGACGCUGAGGCUCGAAAGCGUGGGGAGCAAACAGG